GGCGGUUCUUGGGUGAUGCACCCUGGAAUCAGGCUCCCUCCUCUCUGCUUCUGGGUGCGUCACCCUAGAAUUGCU
Molecule: non-coding RNA, 75 nt
Organism: Myotis brandtii (Brandt's bat)
Lineage: Eukaryota; Metazoa; Chordata; Mammalia; Chiroptera; Vespertilionidae
Source: Rfam